Long non-coding RNA from Symphalangus syndactylus (siamang), 543 nucleotides. RefSeq lists it as uncharacterized. Lineage: Eukaryota; Metazoa; Chordata; Mammalia; Primates; Hylobatidae. The record is from RefSeq and is a predicted model, not a curated record.
GAAAUCCAUGCCAAAACUCCAAUCUAUAAUAUCCUGCUCAUGCUCUGAGGUCAUUAAGGAAAAAAAUCAUGAAAAUAGGUGGAGCCCCAGAAUUUCCUCUAAAAAUCAGAAGACUUACAGAGAGAACCUCUGAGAUGCUCUGGAAGAACAAUGGCCAAGCAAAAUUCUCCAGGAGGACAGAGUCUGUGGCAGUCCUUCUGGGUGACCAGGAACUUUUCAAAUGUAGAGGAGCCUUUAGAAUGACGCCUUGAGCAUGAGGGGCAGACCCCCCCUCGCCCAACCACCACCUGAAUCUGUGUGAACCUGGAACUGUUAAAAUGUCUGUGCUGUAAUAAAAGGUCAUCUCCCUACAAUGUUAUGAUACAGACCUCAAACCUACAAACAUGAGGCACUUCUGCCUCUGGGUUAACUGGUUACCCACUGUACAAGACACGUUACACACAGUCCAGGAGGCGGAGCUUCUGAGAUAUCUAGAAACAGCUUAGAGGCAAAAUGACACAACAAAGCAGCAACAACAAAUAAAACCAAUCUUCUCGAACUGGC